GCGCCAUCGUAGGAAAUUAGACGUGACUCAUAUAUUCUUUCGGCUUCCUGAAGCGCGCCUCGUAAAGGAUCGACUAAGUUGGUUAGAGGAUGAUUCUUGAUAAAUUCGCGAUCUUCUUGUGAAAGUCCCGCCAUCUUGACGGGAUAAAAAGACCGUUGAGUUGGUGCGAGGUCAACUAGGAGUUGCAAGGGAGAAAAGUUCGGCUGGGUAUGCUAAUUUUUUAUGUGAUGAGUGGGAAGCAAACACGGGAACAAAAAUGCAGAAUUGUUAGGAAGUUAUGAUGUACGAUACUUGCGAGAGAAGAGAGCUUGCUGGGAACCGAUGCUGGUAUAUACUCAAAGGGAGGAUUAUGGUCAAAGGGUUGAUCUGGUUUGGCUUGGGUGCAGAACGCGAAUGUGGGAACGGAUAGAGCCGCCGAGCAAGGAUCAAUCCUAUUCAAUCGCGACGGAAUGGCAAUAUGAACAAAAUAGGGGGGUUGAGGCUGUAUUUGGCCAGCUAACCCUGGAAACCAACCCCUGCGUGUUGGUUAUAUCACAGUUG
RNAcentral lists this small RNA (540 nucleotides) under Histoplasma capsulatum. RNAcentral's name for it is "hypothetical RNA". The record is from RNAcentral. RNAcentral also lists the same sequence under 1 other name. Lineage: Eukaryota; Fungi; Ascomycota; Eurotiomycetes; Onygenales; Ajellomycetaceae.